Non-coding RNA from Gossypium raimondii (Peruvian cotton), 149 nucleotides. Lineage: Eukaryota; Viridiplantae; Streptophyta; Magnoliopsida; Malvales; Malvaceae. The record is from Rfam.
UAUUAAAAGUUCAUUCAUCUCUAUUGUUAAAAACUACUGGUGUAUUUUUUAUGGAAUAACCAGAUAGUUAUACAUGGUCUGCCAUGUAUAUCUUAUGCUAAAAUACAUGGACCAGUUUUUAAUAGUAGUAAUGGAUGAAAUUUUUAAGA